UACGGAGGAUCCGAGCGUUAUCCGGAAUCAUUGGGUUUAAAGGGUCCGUAGGCGGCUCUGUAAGUCAGUGGUGAAAUCUCACGGCUCAACCGUGAAAUUGCCAUUGAUACUGCAGGGCUUGAAUGGCCAGGAAGUAACUAGAAUAUGUAGUGUAGCGGUGAAAUGCUUAGAUAUUACAUGGAAUACCGAUUGCGAAGGCAGGUUACUACUGGUUUAUUGACGCUGAUGGACGAAAGCGUGGGUAGCGAACAGG
Molecule: ribosomal RNA, 253 nt
Filed under: uncultured bacterium
Lineage: Bacteria
Description: partial 16S ribosomal RNA
Rfam family: Bacterial small subunit ribosomal RNA
Source: RNAcentral